RNAcentral lists this unclassified non-coding RNA (3442 nucleotides) under Leishmania donovani. RNAcentral's name for it is "gene:LdHU3.11.0330(CDS-product:NADH-cytochrome_b5 _reductase-like_protein)". Lineage: Eukaryota; Euglenozoa; Kinetoplastea; Trypanosomatida; Trypanosomatidae. The record is from RNAcentral.
AGAGCCCCAACCACCACCACCACCUCACCGCAUGCCGCCAAAGCCGUGGGAACAGCAGCUGACGGGGAGCAGCAUGUCGCACCGACGACCUGCACCGGGGGAAGAGGGCAGUACGUUUUCGGACUUUGAGUACCACCAUCAAAGGCGCGGCGGACAUGACGGGGCGGCCGGCGAGCAGCAACGCGGCCCUGCUGCAUCGCCACGGCGGUGGUCCUUCACCCUGCAAGACAUCCCGGGCGCCGUUCAAGGCAUGUUCAACGACGUGAAUAAGGGCUACGUGACCCGCGUGACAGCCGCCGUCGCCACGGCGUUUGGUAUGAGCUACGCGGUGUACACGCUCGUGCUGCAGCCCACGCAACAACGUCGGCCGCUGGCGAAGCGGUGGAGCUGGUGUGCACCGCCGGUGCCGAUCACACUGGUGGAGAAGAACAGGGAGAAGGGCAGCAGCAUGUUCGUGUACCGCUUCGCUUUGCCGAACAGUUACGACUACGCCGGGUAUGAGCCGGUCAGCUCUGUCCGGAUGAUGAGUGGGAACGUGCGCGAGCUCUCCUCGCUCUCCCGGUGGUACACCCCGAUCAGCCACCCCGACGAACGCGGCUUCAUCGAGUUCGCGAUCAAGGACUGUGAUCCCGGCCGCAUGUCUGCUCGCCUGCGCUACCUCGAGCCGGGAGACAUCGUUUAUCUCGGGCGAUGGAUGCGGGAGUUCCCAUACCAGCCGAACACCUUCAAGGAGCUCGGCGUAGUGUGCACCACUUCCGGCGCCUCCGUGGCGCUGCAGCUCAUGAACAUCAUGGACAAGAACAAGGCCGAUGACACCAAGCUCAGCCUCCUCUACUGCCACCACACAGCCACCGACAUUCCGUUCAAGGAUACCUUCUUCAAGGCGUAUGCAGAGCGCAACAAGAACCGUAUUCAGGUCUCGUACAACGUGUUGGCCGGUGGACGGCGAAGGGGGAGCGCCGCGCCGAUCGAGCCGAACAUGUACGUUGGUAACAUCGACCCUGAAACAAUUGCGGCAGCGCUGCCGCCGCCGGUGCGCAUUGUGGAGGCCGGCGCCGGCGUCGGCAGUGGCACCGCGUCGCAGCUCGCGACGUACCGCCCUCAGCUGCUCAUCUGUGGGCCGCAGUCGAUGCUGGCAUUUCUGUGUGGUCGCGUCAGCUCCUUCGGAAACUACGGCUACUGGCAGGGGCCCUUCUAUCGCUACUCUGGCUUCCUCAAAGACAUGGGCUACACCCGCUCUCAAGUUUACAAGUUCGGCGUUUCGACACACUUCCUCGCAGAUCAUUGACGGGGUGUACACGUGUGCGCGAUGGUCGUCAUGGCAAGGGCAAGCAAGACAAUGUUGACGGCACAUCAUCAGGAAGGAGACGCGGGCGAGUUACAGCUCAGCUCUUUCUCUCUGGCAGAUGCAGCGGCGGCAUCGCUGGUGGUCGGUUGGUCGGCUGGCUCGAUCUGAGAAGGCUUUGCUCGUGGGGGUGAUGGUGGUGGUGGUGCUGGCCGCUCACCAUCAGUGCGAUGGUUCAGUUUGCCUGAACUGCUCUGCGCGUCGGCGUCUGUGUGGUGCAGACCAAAGGAGCGAGAAGAGGCGAAGAGGCCGAGCACGGAGGUUAUAAGAUGAAAAGGCGUCAGCGAAGUCGCCCGACCCCUCUGGCGUCGACCCAUGAGUGUAGGUGUGUGAUGGUCUUCACUGGAAGGUCAGAUGGCCAUGAAACCCCGGAGUACAGCGAAGCGCGCGGCGCCGUCAGGCCUGCAGACAGCACACGAAGAUCCUCACAAGCACGGAUGCACACACGCACACAGCCGCACGUCAGCUCUUUCAUCUUUGGGCGAUGCGUCAGUGUGCACCAUGCAUCAGCGGAAGGAGCGCUCGCGCACUCAUGUGCGUGCGCAGCUGUGCGUCGACGGUGCAUCAGCCUUCUUUGAUGCCUUGCAUCGAAGCGAAGGUCUAUACUUCGCUGGUAUGCGCCUCCUUUCUCGCUCGCCUCGGCCUCGUUGACCGUCGCGACCACCUUUCCGGCGCCCACCUGCCAGACGGCUCUCUUCGGCGCGUGCGUGCAGGAGCCAGCGCCGGGGCACAGAGCCGCACAGGGGCGAACCAAAAUGGCGGCAUACGCGCGUGCACGCAGGCACAUGCAGGCACACGAACACGACGGUGAGGGCGUGCCUCGGGCGCUGGCUGCUGGCGGCUUGCCCCUGCUUGCUUUCUCUUCCCCCUCGCGCCAGCGACUGCACGUGCAGCAGCCACUGCAGAGGAAGUUGGGCACGCGCAAGUCCAUCAUUGUACCAGACAUUCCACAGAUGCCACUCCAUGCCGAUCUCUCUCUCUUGCGCGAUAGGAACUCUGCCGGGCAGGAGUAUUCCGUACGCGGCUGGUGGUCUUGAUGGUGCAGAUCGUGGCGCCGCUUCCGCUGAGUUCCAAUGGGCCGAUUGCAGAUGGUUCAAUCAUCAUGAUGCUGCAGGAGGGUGUGCGGGUGUCGGAGGAGUGCGCCUGCACCCGCUGCCGGAAGACGAAGCGAAUGCGGGCAUGGGUCUCGCUGAGCACUCGGACUUUGUCCAAAUCCUCAGAAUCAACUCUUGUUGCCCAGGCUGGUGCAUGAUCCAGACCCUCGUUGUCGUCUUCUCGACAAUCUACGGCGUCGCAUUCAACGGGUGCAACAUGGCCCCACCAGAGACCCGCGACACUGCGCUGGCCUUGAAGAGGGCCUUCGACAGCCUCCUCACUCAGGCGCGGCUCUCGCGCGGGCUCACCCUCUGCAGCGCAAGCUCCCGGUACGAGCGGACGAUGGGCUUCGUGGCCCUGAUGUGUUUAACCGCGAGCAGGAGCAUGAGAGGGUGAGAUGGUGCGAAGCGAGCACGCACCCGCAGAGCAUCGGGAAAUCCGGGUGCCACGACGGGCACGCGGUAGGGAAAUGGCCCCGCCGACCGUGUAGGGGCGCCGCUCAUGGGAAGCGCCUUUUCUUUCUUGUCUACUGGAGCUGUGGCUCACUUUCAUGCGGAUGGCGCCUCUACCAUCGCUGCUGUCCGCAAGGGCUACACGCACAUUCAUGUAGUCAACGGGGAACUCCAUCGCUGCAUGCCUCCCCUGCCGUGUGUAAUCUACGGCUCGUUACACACAAUGCGGCGAAAACUCCGCCGACGGACCGAGCCGCGACCCCGUUUACCAAGCGUGGCAGUGCACAACUGGCGAGACGGUGAGGUGCGACAGUAAGCUGCAAAGGCAGGCAUAUGCGUGCAUGUAUCUUCUUACGUGAAAAGACGCACUCUAUGCGUGCCUUUGUGGCGCUCGGUGUGUGAGCGGCACGACCGCACCCACCGCCACCGCCGAAGUCGGGUCGACUGAAGCGAAUAUGCCGACACGCCCAUUGACCUCCGUGUAACGUUCCCUCGGCCCCCCCGCCCUCCACCACCACCACCUCUCUCCCUCUCUGCUGGCGCCGAAAAG